RNAcentral lists this ribosomal RNA (761 nucleotides) under uncultured bacterium. Its description in RNAcentral is "bacterial SSU rRNA". It matches the Rfam family "Bacterial small subunit ribosomal RNA", at positions 61 to 809 of the family's 1533-position model. The record is from RNAcentral.
GUCGAGGGGCAGCAUGGAAGUUUGCUUGCAAACUUUUGAUGGCGACCGGCGUCACGGGUGAGUAACACGUAUCCAACCUGCCUCAUACUCGGGGAUAGCCUUUCGAAAGAAAGAUUAAUACCCGAUGUCAUAGUCCUACCGCAUGAUGGGAUUAUUAAAGAAUUUCGGUAUGGGAUGGGGAUGCGUUCCAUUAGUUAGUUGGCGGGGUAACGGCCCACCAAGACAACGAUGGAUAGGGGUUCUGAGAGGAAGGUCCCCCACAUUGGAACUGAGACACGGUCCAAACUCCUACGGGAGGCAGCAGUGAGGAAUAUUGGUCAAUGGACGAGAGUCUGAACCAGCCAAGUAGCGUGAAGGAUGACUGCCCUAUGGGUUGUAAACUUCUUUUAUAUGGGAAUAAAAUGUUCCACGUGUGGGAUUUUGUAUGUACCAUAUGAAUAAGGAUCGGCUAACUCCGUGCCAGCAGCCGCGGUAAUACGGAGGAUCCGAGCGUUAUCCGGAUUUAUUGGGUUUAAAGGGAGCGUAGGUGGAUUGUUAAGUCAGUUGUGAAAGUUUGCGGCUCAACCGUAAAAUUGCAGUUGAAACUGGCAGUCUUGAGUACAGUAGAGGUGGGCGGAAUUCGUGGUGUAGCGGUGAAAUGCUUAGAUAUCACGAAGAACUCCGAUUGCGAAGGCAGCUCACUGGACUGCAACUGACACUGAGGCUCGAAAGUGCGGGUAUCAAACAGGAUUAGAUACCCUGGUAGUCCACGCAGUAAACGA